UGGGGAAUAUUGCACAAUGGGCGCAAGCCUGAUGCAGCCAUGCCGCGUGUGUGAAGAAGGCCUUCGGGUUGUAAAGCACUUUCAGCGGGGAGGAAGGCGAUAAGGUUAAUAACCUUGCCGAUUGACGUUACCCGCAGAAGAAGCACCGGCUAACUCCGUGCCAGCAGCCGCGGUAAUACGGAGGGUGCAAGCGUUAAUCGGAAUUACUGGGCGUAAAGCGCACGCAGGCGGUUGAUUGAGUCAGAUGUGAAAUCCCCGGGCUUAACCCGGGAAUUGCAUCUGAUACUGGUCAGCUAGAGUCUUGUAGAAGAGGGUAGAAUUCCAUGUGUAGCGGUGAAAUGCGUAGAGAUGUGGAGGAAUACCGGUGGCGAAGGCGGCCCCCUGGACAAAGAAUGACGAUCAGGUGCGAAAGCGUGGGGAGCAAACAGG
Molecule: ribosomal RNA, 429 nt
Filed under: Chloroflexota bacterium
Lineage: Bacteria; Bacillati; Chloroflexota
Description: Chloroflexi bacterium partial 16S ribosomal RNA
Rfam family: Bacterial small subunit ribosomal RNA
Source: RNAcentral